AGCAUGUGGUUUAAUUCGAAGCAACGCGAAGAACCUUACCAGGGCUUGACAUCCCUCUGACAGUCCCUUAACCGGGACCUUCUUCGGACAGAGGAGACAGGUGGUGCAUGGUUGUCGUCAGCUCGUGUCGUGAGAUGUCGGGUUAAGUCCCGCAACGAGCGCAACCCUUGCCUUUAGUUGCCAUCAUUCAGUUGGGCACUCUAGAGAGACUGCCGAGGACAACUCGGAGGAAGGUGGGGAUGACGUCAAAUCAUCAUGCCCCUUAUGUCCUGGGCUACACACGUGCUACAAUGGCUGGUACAAAGAGACGCAAGACCGCGAGGUGGAGCAAAUCUCAAAAACCAGUCCCAGUUCGGAUUGCAGGCUGCAACUCGCCUGCAUGAAGUCGGAGUUGCUAGUAAUCGCAGAUCAGAAUGCUGCGGUGAAUGCGUUCCCGGGUCUU
Molecule: ribosomal RNA, 442 nt
Filed under: uncultured Eubacteriales bacterium
Lineage: Bacteria; Bacillati; Bacillota; Clostridia; Eubacteriales
Description: bacterial SSU rRNA
Rfam family: Bacterial small subunit ribosomal RNA
Source: RNAcentral